AGGGGGUACAGGUUAGUAAUGAGACUAUAUACAGGGGGUACAGGUUAGUAAUGAGACUAUAUACAGGGGGUACAGGUUAGUAAUGAGACUAUAUACAGGGGUACAGGUUAGUAAUGAGACUAUAUACAGGGGGUACAGGUUAGUAAUGAGACUAUAUACAGGGGGUACAGGUUAGUAAUGAGACUAUAUACAGGGGUUACAGGUUAGUAAUGAGACUAUAUACAGGGGUACAGGUUAGUAAUGAGACUAUAUACAGGGGUACAGGUUAGUAAUGAGACUAUAUACAGGGGGUACAGGUUAGUAAUGAGACUAUAUACAGGGGGUACAGGUUAGUAAUGAGACUAUAUACAGGGGGUACCGGUUAGUAAUGAGACUAUAUACAGGGGGUACAGGUUAGUAAUGAGACUAUAUACAGGGGGUACCGGUACCGAGUCAAUGUGUGGGGUUACAGGUUAGUAAUGAGACUAUAUACAGGGGGUACCGGUACCGAGUCAAUGUGCGGGGCUACAGGUUAGUAAUGAGGCUAUAUACAGGGGGGUACCGGUACCGAGUCAAUGUGCGGGGGUACAGGUUAGUAAUGAGACUAUAUACAGGGGGUACCGGUACCGAAUCAAUGUGCGGGGGUACAGGUUAGUAAUGAGACUAUAUACAGGGGGUACCGGUACCGAGUCAAUGUGUGGGGGUACAGGUUAGUAAUGAGACUAUAUACAGGGGGUACCGGUACCGAGUCAAUGUGCGGGGGUACAGGUUAGUAAUGAGACUAUAUACAGGGGGUACCGGUACCGAGUCAAUGUGCGGGGGUACAGGUUAGUAAUGAGACUGUAUACAGGGGGUACCGGUACCGAGUCAAUGUGCGGGGGUACAGGUUAGUAAUGAGACUAUAUACAGGGGGUACCGGUACCGAGUCAAUGUGCGGGGGUACAGGUUAGUAAUGAGACUAUAUACAGGGGGUACCGGUACCGAGUCAAUGUGCGGGGGUACAGGUUAGUAAUGAGACUAUAUACAGGGGGUACCGGUACCGAGUCAAUGUGCGGGGGUACAGGUUAGUAAUGAGACUAUAUACAGGGGG
Long non-coding RNA from Oncorhynchus tshawytscha (Chinook salmon), 1069 nucleotides. Lineage: Eukaryota; Metazoa; Chordata; Actinopteri; Salmoniformes; Salmonidae. The record is from Ensembl.